Molecule: ribosomal RNA, 351 nt
Filed under: uncultured bacterium
Lineage: Bacteria
Description: bacterial SSU rRNA
Rfam family: Bacterial small subunit ribosomal RNA
Source: RNAcentral
AGAGUUUGAUCCUGGCUCAGGAUGAACGCUAGCUACAGGCUUAACACAUGCAAGUCGAGGGGAAACGACAUCGAAAGCUUGCUUUUGAUGGGCGUCGACCGGCGCACGGGUGAGUAACGCGUAUCCAACCUGCCCACCACUUGGGGAUAACCUUGCGAAAGUAAGACUAAUACCCAAUGACGUCUCUAGAAGACAUCUGAAAGAGAUUAAAGAUUUAUCGGUGAUGGAUGGGGAUGCGUCUGAUUAGCUUGUUGGCGGGGUAACGGCCACCAAGGCUACGAUCAGUAGGGGUUCUGAGAGGAACGGUCCCCACAUUGGAACUGAGACACGGUCCAACUCCAACGGGAGGCA